GGUGAGUAACCGUGGGUAACCUGCCUAAAAGAAGGGGAUAACACUUGGAAACAGGUGCUAAUACCGUAUAUCUCUAAGGAUCGCAUGAUCCUUAGAUGAAAGAUGGUUCUGCUAUCGCUUUUAGAUGGACCCGCGGCGUAUUAACUAGUUGGUGGGGUAACGGCCUACCAAGGUGAUGAUACGUAGCCGAACUGAGAGGUUGAUCGGCCACAUUGGGACUGAGACACGGCCCAAACUCCUACGGGAGGCAGCAGUAGGGAAUCUUCCACAAUGGACGCAAGUCUGAUGGAGCAACGCCGCGUGAGUGAAGAAGGUCUUCGGAUCGUAAAACUCUGUUGUUAGAGAAGAACACGAGUGAGAGUAACUGUUCAUUCGAUGAC
Molecule: ribosomal RNA, 380 nt
Filed under: Ligilactobacillus salivarius
Lineage: Bacteria; Bacillati; Bacillota; Bacilli; Lactobacillales; Lactobacillaceae
Description: bacterial SSU rRNA
Rfam family: Bacterial small subunit ribosomal RNA
Source: RNAcentral